AGCUCCAAUAGCGUAUAUUAAAUUUGUUGCAGUUAAAAAGCUCGUAGUUGGAUCCCAGGACGGGGCUGCAGGUAUUGAUCUAUGUCAAUCACUUCGCAGAACCGCCUCAUUAGCCGUCAGCUUGCGGGUGCGUUCUUUAUUGAAUGACUCGUGACGCGGCAAUAUUACUUUGAAAAAAUUAGAGUGCUCAAAGCAGGCCAUUAUGAGCCUGAAUACUGUUGCAUGGCAUAACGAAAUACGACUUGAGCUCUAUUUUGUUGAUUUUCGGUAUUAUGCUCAAGUAAUGAUUAACAGGAGUAGAACGGGGGCUGAAGUAUGGUCGCGUUAGAGGUGAAAUUCAUGGAUCGUGGCCGGACUACCUACUGCGAAAGCAUUUGCCAAGGAUGCCUUCAUUAAUCAA
RNAcentral lists this ribosomal RNA (400 nucleotides) under phytoplankton environmental sample. RNAcentral's name for it is "partial small subunit ribosomal RNA". It matches the Rfam family "Eukaryotic small subunit ribosomal RNA", at positions 587 to 980 of the family's 1831-position model. The record is from RNAcentral.